This 315-nucleotide long non-coding RNA is filed under the name Monodelphis domestica (gray short-tailed opossum). RNAcentral describes it as "lncRNA (ENSMODG00000044754.1)". The record is from RNAcentral. Lineage: Eukaryota; Metazoa; Chordata; Mammalia; Didelphimorphia; Didelphidae.
AUGAAGGAAGGGAGAGAGAGUGAGAGAGAGAUGGGGAAAGGAAGAAAGGAAGAAAGGAAGAAAGGAAGAAAGAAAGAAAGAAAGAAAGAAAGAAAGAAAGAAAGAAAGAAAGAAAGAAAGAAAGAAAGAAAGAAAGAAAGAAAGAAAGAAAGAAAGAAAGAAAGAAAGAAAGAAAGAAAGAAAGAAAGAAAGAAAGAAAGGAAGAAAGGAAGGAAGGAAGGAAGGAAGGAAGGAAGGAAGGAAGGAAGGAAGGAAGCAAGGAAGGAAGAGGCAGAGAGAGAGAGGAGGGAGGCAGGGCAAGGCAUGCUACCCUGA